This 373-nucleotide ribosomal RNA is filed under the name uncultured organism. Its description in RNAcentral is "partial 16S ribosomal RNA". It matches the Rfam family "Bacterial small subunit ribosomal RNA", at positions 527 to 896 of the family's 1533-position model. The record is from RNAcentral.
GUAGGUGGCAAGCGUUGUCCGGAAUUAUUGGGCGUAAAGCGCGCGCAGGCGGUUCUUUAAGUCUGAUGUGAAAGCCCACGGGCUCAACCGUGGAGGGUCAUUGGAAACUGGAGAACUUGAGUACAGAAGAGGAAAGCGGAAUUCCACGUGUAGCGGUGAAAUGCGUAGAGAUGUGGAGGAACACCAGUGGCGAAGGCGGCUUUCUGGUCUGUAACUGACGCUGAGGCGCGAAAGCGUGGGGAGCAAACAGGAUUAGAUACCCUGGUAGUCCACGCCGUAAACGAUGAGUGCUAAGUGUUAGGGGGUUUCCGCCCCCUUAGUGCUGCAGCUAACGCAUUAAGCACUCCGCCUGGGGAGUACGGCCGCAAGGCUG